Bos taurus (domestic cattle) is the source of this 72-nucleotide non-coding RNA. NCBI's taxonomy places the organism in Eukaryota, Metazoa, Chordata, Mammalia, Artiodactyla, Bovidae. The record is from Rfam.
UCCCUCGGGUCCAGUGGUCAGGACCCUGUGCUUCCAAUGCAGGGGGCCUGGGUUCGAUCCCUGGUCAGGGAA